RNAcentral lists this ribosomal RNA (468 nucleotides) under uncultured bacterium. RNAcentral describes it as "partial 16S ribosomal RNA". It matches the Rfam family "Bacterial small subunit ribosomal RNA", at positions 28 to 507 of the family's 1533-position model. The record is from RNAcentral.
GACGAACGCUGGCGGCGUGCUUAACACAUGCAAGUCGAACGGAAAGGCCCUGCUUUUGUGGGGUGCUCGAGUGGCGAACGGGUGAGUAACACGUGAGUAACCUGCCCUUGACUUUGGGAUAACUUCAGGAAACUGGGGCUAAUACCGGAUAGGAGCUCCUGCUGCAUGGUGGGGGUUGGAAAGUUUCGGCGGUUGGGGAUGGACUCGCGGCUUAUCAGCUUGUUGGUGGGGGAGUGGCUUACCAAGGCUUUGACGGGUAGCCGGCCGGAGAGGGUGACCGGCCACAUUGGGACUGAGAUACGGCCCAGACUCCUACGGGAGGCAGCAGUGGGGAAUAUUGCACAAUGGGCGGAAGCCUGAUGCAGCAACGCCGCGUGCGGGAUGACGGCCUUCGGGUUGUAAACCGCUUUCGCCUGUGACGAAGCGUGAGUGACGGUAAUGGGUAAAGAAGCACCGGCUAACUACGUG